Molecule: long non-coding RNA, 236 nt
Filed under: Brassica napus (rape)
Lineage: Eukaryota; Viridiplantae; Streptophyta; Magnoliopsida; Brassicales; Brassicaceae
Description: long non-coding RNA (BNAP_LNC006834)
Source: RNAcentral
CAAAGCACAUCCCUCCAAGAUUUUUCUCGUACAUAAGGGAGCUCGAGAAAAAUAAAGAAGUGGACAUUAAAUAUGUACGGUCAUGCGACAAUCCAGCUGACUUGUUCACAAAAGCCCUUCCGACUACAACGUUCCGAAAACACGUCUAUAGUAUCGGAAUGCGGCAUUUGCAUGACCUGUGACAAGAAAGCUAGAUCCACUAUUCUCAGGGGGAGAUUACGGGCAGUGUACUCUUU